Molecule: ribosomal RNA, 728 nt
Filed under: uncultured Micromonospora sp.
Lineage: Bacteria; Bacillati; Actinomycetota; Actinomycetes; Micromonosporales; Micromonosporaceae
Description: bacterial SSU rRNA
Rfam family: Bacterial small subunit ribosomal RNA
Source: RNAcentral
CUUCGGGGUACUCGAGCGGCGAACGGGUGAGUAACACGUGAGCAACCUGCCCUAGGCUUUGGGAUAACCCCGGGAAACCGGGGCUAAUACCGAAUAUGACCUCUGACCGCAUGGUUGGUGGUGGAAAGUUUUUCGGCCUGGGAUGGGCUCGCGGCCUAUCAGCUUGUUGGUGGGGUGAUGGCCUACCAAGGCGACGACGGGUAGCCGGCCUGAGAGGGCGACCGGCCACACUGGGACUGAGACACGGCCCAGACUCCUACGGGAGGCAGCAGUGGGGAAUAUUGCACAAUGGGCGGAAGCCUGAUGCAGCGACGCCGCGUGAGGGAUGACGGCCUUCGGGUUGUAAACCUCUUUCAGCAGGGACGAAGCGAAAGUGACGGUACCUGCAGAAGAAGCGCCGGCCAACUACGUGCCAGCAGCCGCGGUAAGACGUAGGGCGCGAGCGUUGUCCGGAUUUAUUGGGCGUAAAGAGCUCGUAGGCGGCUUGUCGCGUCGACUGUGAAAACCCGCAGCUCAACUGCGGGCCUGCAGUCGAUACGGGCAGGCUAGAGUUCGGUAGGGGAGACUGGAAUUCCUGGUGUAGCGGUGAAAUGCGCAGAUAUCAGGAGGAACACCGGUGGCGAAGGCGGGUCUCUGGGCCGAUACUGACGCUGAGGAGCGAAAGCGUGGGGAGCGAACAGGAUUAGAUACCCUGGUAGUCCACGCUGUAAACGUUGGGCGCUAGGUGU